RNAcentral lists this ribosomal RNA (381 nucleotides) under uncultured eukaryote. Its description in RNAcentral is "partial 18S ribosomal RNA". It matches the Rfam family "Eukaryotic small subunit ribosomal RNA", at positions 592 to 976 of the family's 1831-position model. The record is from RNAcentral.
CAAUAGCGUAUAUUAAAGUUGUUGCGGUAAAAAAGCUCGUAGUUGGAUUUCUACCGAAGAUAGCCGGUCGGGUCUUCGACCUUGUAUCUGGUUUUGUCUUUGGUAUCCUCAUAGGGAACGUUUCUGCGCUUUAUUGCGUGGUGCGGUAUCUAUGACUUUUCCUUUGAGGAAAUUAGAGUGUUCACGGCAGGCAAACGCCUUGAAUAUAUUAGCAUGGAAUAAUAACAUAGGAUCUUCGUCCUAUUUUGUUGGUUUCUAGGGCUAAGAUAAUGAUUAAUAGGGAUAAUUGGGGGCAUCUGUAUCAACGCGUCAGAGGUGGAAUUCUUGGAUUGCGUUGCGACAAACUACUGCGAAAGCAUUUGCCAAGGAUGUUUUCAUUGA